UACGGGGGGAGCAAGCGUUGUUCGGAUUGACUGGGCGUAAAGGGCGCGUAGGCGGUUUGUUCAGUCAGACGUGAAAUUCCUGGGCUCAACCUGGGGACUGCGUUUGAUACGUGCAGACUUGAGUUCGGAAGAGGGUCGUGGAAUUCCCAGUGUAGAGGUGAAAUUCGUAGAUAUCGUCAGGAAUGCCGGUGGUGAAGACGGGUGACUGGGCUGGUUCUGACACUGAGGCACGAAAGCGUGGGGAGCGAACGGG
RNAcentral lists this ribosomal RNA (253 nucleotides) under uncultured bacterium. RNAcentral's name for it is "partial 16S ribosomal RNA". It matches the Rfam family "Bacterial small subunit ribosomal RNA", at positions 524 to 776 of the family's 1533-position model. The record is from RNAcentral.